AACAAUUGAAAAGCGUAUCAAAAUUGGAGAGCGGCAAAACUCCCGGUCUCAAUUCACACACCUCACAUUUCAGUCUCCACACACUCAGCUCACUCACCUCUUUUACACUCACCUCUCUUCUCAAACUCCCCUCACUCACCUCUCCGGCACUUUUGACGACAACUGAAUCGGGGUCUCUCUCAAUGGAUUUCACCUUUAUUAGGGCUUUUUUGUUUCGGAUCUUCAGUUGUGGGCUUCGAUUUAAAGCUUCUUAAUUCAUUCACUGAAAUUAGGGCUUGAGAUUUAUAGUUUCUUACAAUUUAUUUAAGAGAUUCGAAUUAUGAGUUUCACUUUAACGUUGUUAAUUUAGUGUCUCUGUUUGUUUCAAGGCUUCAAUCAGAUUGGGCUCCAAUCCAAUCAGGACUUCCAUCAAAUUAGGGCUUUUCACUUUAAUGGGGGCUUCAAAUUGCUUGGAUUGUGAUUUAAGAUACACUCCUCUCUCAUAUAUUUGCUUGUAAGUAUGUAUCUUUGUUCUCUAAAAUCUAUGUUUGAUUUUAAAUAUAUGUGAUUCUGUGUAUAUGAGUUUUGGUUUGUUCUAUGUUGUCUUUGUCUAUCUCUCUCAUUCUCUUCCCCUCCCUCUCCUACUCUGUCUCCCCCUCUCUCUUACACACACAUUUAAUUUACUAUUUUACUUGCUAAUAUACACACACACACUCUACUACUCUGUUUCUCUUGUACAGAUUCUAUUAUGUGUAUUAUGUAUAUUUGUUAUUUUUAUUAUAUUGAUACUAAAAUAAUCUCAAGUGCUUGACAAGCUUGAUCGAUAAUAUGAGCUCUGCCAGACCUCAGUUUCCUACCAAAGAGUACAUGAAAACACAGGUAGAUAUCCAAACUUUUGCACCUAAUUAUAUAUCGUGAGUGAUUUACUGACUUUUUGUUUCUAUAGAUCAAACUAUCUGACCCUAUACACUAAUACACCAGUUAUCACUGGAGAAAUCGGUGCGCGAAAAUCUUCAAACCCGUGCUUCCCUUCACGGGGAGUCAUUUAAUUUCUCCAUUGGUAAAAUGCAUCCUGCAACUUUUGCUCAUCAUAUUUACUAUCUUUCAGGAAAGACUUUAUGUUAUUCUAAAAUAGGGAGAACAGUCAAACAACUGUUAUUGGUUGUCCUGGCGAACCAAUCUAGACAGGUGAGGUUUCUUGUCAUAUAGCCUUCAUCCACUGUUAACUUGAUAAGGUUUUAGUUGUCAAGUUUGAGUUAUAAUAUUACAUCUAAGAAAACCUUACUCAAGCAGGACUUUUCUAUGCUGAUUAUAAACCCUGAAAAACAAAAGAUGUAAUAUACAAGCUAAUGACUCCCCUGGCUUUGUAGAUUUGAGUAUAGGAACCUCGUAGGUUAACUUCUAUUUUGUACAUGUGAAGAAAAUGGUUUUUUAAAUCAGCGUGAUGUGUAGUUUAGUGACCUUAGAAUAGUUUAAUAUAUUUAGGUCUCAUAUAUUAAUUCAGUUGGCUUGGCAUCUGUCAGAAACAUUAAGAUGGGUUUGGCUAAGAAUUUGGUUAUUAGAAUGAAUGAGCAUAUAUUUAUAUACUAGAACUCCGUAUUCUGUCUGAAAUCAAAGUGCUUCCAGUUGGCCAUAUUACUCCCCCUACAAUAAUAAAACUGUAGCCUGUCAAUAUUAUUGAAUCUUUAUAUAUGUGAACUAAUGAACUAAAAAAUAGAGAUUAGUGGUAAAGAAUAGAGAUUAGUGGUAAUGGGAUAUGCUUUCUUCUGGCACUUAAGCAUCAUUGUAGAAAAUACUUAUCAUUCAUAAAAGGGUCAAAGUGUGAUUAUAUGAUAUAAACUUUAUUCAGUUCUGUGUAGAUAGCUUUCUCACAAAUUUUGGUGUAGGGGUAUAUAUACUAUAUUCUAUAUACUCUGAAGUUUAUAUGUUUAACUUUAUCGAACUGAGCUUAACUUUAUAUGUUUGUACUAGGCUACAACACCAAAUUUGGAACAGAAGCUUGAAAAAUUAGCUCCUGCAGAUGCUGUUGCUGGUUUGAUUGCUCCCUAUUUUGUGGAAAGGUUAGAGUCUACUUUUAAAUAUAAUAAAAUCAUUUACAGGGAUAUACACAAUCUUUAGGAAAGUGUAAUAAUUUUCCAGUUUGAAGCUUUCGGCCUGCGGUUUGAUAGAGAGCUGUUUGCUUUCAAAUUACUCCUUUUAAAAUGACACAUGGAGUGAUGUUUUAAUUGUACUAGAAGUGUAUCAAGGUAGCUUCUUGUGUUGUGUCUUGGUGUCCUUUUUGUAAUUGAUGAAUAGCUAAGAGGACACCAUUGUGAUUAAAUACCAAUAAAAAUGGACUAAUCUGUCUACCACUAUACAGGUUUGUAGGAUUACAUCAGUUGAAUUUAAUGGAAUAAAAGAUUUCCCCAAAAUAUGAAAUUUGUCAGAACUUAAAAUGAUGGAAGAGGAAUAGUAGUUUCAUGUGAGACAUGCAAAUCAAGUCAUAGAUCUAUUUAACUAGCUACAACUAUUACAAUUAUAUUAUAGUAUAGUGAUUUGGUUUGAUUUGAACCUCUGCAGUUAGUUAAUAGAAGUGUUUCAGCCUAUAUACCAAUAUUAAUGAUGGACAAAGUUUUUACCCUGUUUAGUUAAUUUCAUUAUCUACUGCAAAUUUAUUGUGUUAUCUGUUUACUGUCCAACUAAAUCCACAUAAUUUGAGUUGUUCAAAAUAAGCAUGGCUUAUUUACCGGAACUCAGCUUAGUAGUUGCAUUGUAUUGUUUCAGGGAAAGCCUAAGCCGUUAAUGGAUCAACCUAACAGAGUCAAAGACUUGACUGUUCCAGAAUUUGGAACUCUCCAAGCUUGGGAAGUGCGAGCAAAAUGCAAGAAUAUGUUUAUUUAUAUAAUAGUGUAGUGUACUGUGAUGUUUGGUUGGAUUUGUUUAAUACUUUGAUUUGGUUGGAUUUGUUAGGUAGUUUGGUUUGGUUGGAUUUGUUAUAAACUUUGAUUUGUAUGAAAGAAUAGUUUAAUGUUGCAGUUGAUAUAGUAAAAUAUUGCAAAAUUGUUAUUUGAUGUUGC
RNAcentral lists this long non-coding RNA (3035 nucleotides) under Daucus carota (carrot). RNAcentral describes it as "long non-coding RNA (DCAR_LNC006590)". The record is from RNAcentral. Lineage: Eukaryota; Viridiplantae; Streptophyta; Magnoliopsida; Apiales; Apiaceae.